AUUGAACGCUGGCGGCAUGCCUUACACAUGCAAGUCGAACGGCAGCACGGGUGCUUGCACCUGGUGGCGAGUGGCGAACGGGUGAGUAAUACAUCGGAACAUGUCCUUUAGUGGGGGAUAGCCCGGCGAAAGCCGGAUUAAUACCGCAUACGAUCUACCGAUGAAAGCGGGGGACCUUCGGGCCUCGCGCUAUAGGGUUGGCCGAUGGCUGAUUAGCUAGUUGGUGGGGUAAAGGCCUACCAAGGCGACGAUCAGUAGCUGGUCUGAGAGGACGACCAGCCACAUGGGGACUGAGACACGGCCAAGACUCCUACGGGAGGCAGCAGUGGGGAAUUUUGGACAGUGGGCGAAAGCAUGAUACAGCAAUGCCGCGUGUGUGAAGAAGGCCUUCGGGUUGUAAAGCACUUUUGUCCGGAAAGAAAUCCUUGGCCCUAAUACGGUCGGGGGAUGACGGUACCGGAAGAAUAAGCACCGGCUAACUACGUG
RNAcentral lists this ribosomal RNA (486 nucleotides) under uncultured bacterium. Its description in RNAcentral is "partial 16S ribosomal RNA". It matches the Rfam family "Bacterial small subunit ribosomal RNA", at positions 30 to 507 of the family's 1533-position model. The record is from RNAcentral.